CUGGGCUCACUGCGCACGCGCGGCCUCCGGCUUGGUCCCAGGUGGAGCUGAUUUAGCCGAGCUGGCGCCGCCGUGAGCCUCCGAGAUGAGCGCGGCCGAGGCCGACCGCUGGGCUUGGCUGCUGGUGCUCAGCUUCGUGUUUGGGUGCAAUGUACUCAGGAUCCUCCUCCCGUCCUUCUCCUCCUUCAUGUCCAGGGUGCUGCAGAAGGACGUGAAGCAGGAGUCACAGAUGCGAGCAGAGAUCCAGGGCAUGAAGCAGGAGCUCUCCACCGUCAGCAUGAUGGACGAGUUUGCCAGAUACGCCAGGCUGGAGAGGAAGAUCAACAAGAUGACUGAUAAGCUCAAAACUCACGGACUGAUACCAUUUCAUCCUGUUUUUCCUUUCAGUGAAAGCACGGACAGCUCAGUUGGCCAAGAUAAAAUGGGUUAUAAGUGUUGCUUUCUACAUAUUGCAAGCUGCCCUGAUGGUCACACUCAUCUGGACGUACUACUCUGUCCCUGUGGCCGUGGUGCCGAGUAGGUGGAUAACUCCACUAGACCGCCUGGUAGCGUUUCCCACUGGAGUGGCAGGGCUUGCAGCAAAGGAGCUGACGUCUAGAGAACUUACGUGUCCAGUGUCACCGAAAUGUGAAGUAGCAGGGCUACAGUUCAACCCAAGCCUGCCUCCGUGAUCCAAGCCCAAUACCUGGGGUCUGAUACCCCUUUUAUUGAAACAUCACCUCUGGUUCCCAAAUUCUGUGACUCCUUUUCAAUUCACGCUAUGCUUAGCCCCUCUGCAGCAUUUCCUGCUAUCGGCCAUUCUUUGACUUCUGAAAGAAUUUCUUUUGGGUGUUAAAAUUAGUACAUGUCAUCGUAGAAUGAUUAGAAAUAUAAAAAAACUUUUAAAAAGACUCAGUAGCUGUGGAGAACCGCUCUUAACAUUGCGGUAUAUUUUUUCCAGUCUUCUUUUCUAUUUAGUUUUGUAUGGUUAAGGUUAUCUGGCACGUACAAUUUUUUACCCCUCUUACUAUGUAAGCCUUUUUCCACAUCAAUACAUUUCUUCAGAGUAGAGACGGACAUGCUGCUGGCUGUGCUGAGAGGGCAGCUUAAUAAAUUUCUUUAUUAAGGAAUUUUGAAUAGCUAUUCUUCAUUUGGAUGUGUCAUAAUUUACUAAUUUCCCUGUUAAAGGAUAUUUAUUUAAGUCCCCAGUCUUUGCUGUAGAGAUGACGCUGCAGUACACAUCCUGGUCAGCCAGUCUUUGGUUGUGAUUUGUGAUCACGCUGGAGGUGAAUUGCUAAGUCAAAGGGAUGACCGUGUCAAAGAUUUCCAAUUUAGCCAGGCCCCUUCCUUCCCCUCCCCCUCCCUCUUCCCGGACCCAGCCAGGAUUGUUGUAGCUGGUGGCUCUCAGUGUUGCUGAGCCGAGGAGCCAGAGGCCACCCUUCCGGGCAUCUUGUGGCCUCUCUUCCUGUCUCUCAGCAUCAGUGGGGCAAGAAAGGUGUGGGUAAACAUUCCAUCGUGCUUGUAAUGCUUUGGUGGGAAGGGAAAAACAGAUCAUCUGACAGGGUGGCCUUACAGUCUAUUAAUAUCAUAAAUAAUGAUGCACAUCCCUCUGGCAGGAAAGAUAAAUUCAAAUCAUUGUUUGUUGUCUUGAGUAGUUCCUGCUUAGUAAAGAAGGCAGCUCUGUGAAUCAGUAGAAAGUCUGCGGGCUUCCCUGGUGGCGCAGUGGUUAAGAAUCUGCCUGCCAAUGCAGGGGACAACGGUUCGAGCCCUGGUCUGGGAGGAUCCCACAUGCCACGGAGCAGCUAAGCCCGUGCGCCACAACUACUGAGCCUGCGCUCUAGAGCCUGAGAGCCACAACUACUGAAGCCCACGUGCCACAACUACUGAAGCCCAUGCGCACCUAGAGCCCGUGCUCCGCAACAAGAGAAGCCACCGCAAUGAGAAGCCCGCGCGCCGCAACAAAAGAGUAGCCCCCGCUCGCCACAACUAGAGAAAGCCUGCGUGCAGCAACGAAGACCCAGAGCAGCCCCCCCCCAAAAAAGUGAUCAAUUUGGACCCAGGAAACACAAACUUGGUGUUAGCCCAACACUACUCAAAAAGGACUGAAGUGCUCUAUUUCCUAAAGUCAGAGGUAGCAGAGGCAGGAAAUGUGGGCGAACUCCUGGCAUGCUCUCAUGUUGAAUUUCUUUAU
This is an RNA transcript of Lagenorhynchus albirostris (white-beaked dolphin), 2170 nucleotides long. It is a transcript of the gene named guided entry of tail-anchored proteins factor 1, with no coding region annotated. Lineage: Eukaryota; Metazoa; Chordata; Mammalia; Artiodactyla; Delphinidae. The transcript has 5 exons. The record is from RefSeq and is a predicted model, not a curated record.